UCCUACGGGGCGCAGCAGUGAGGAAUAUUGGUCAAUGGGCGGGAGCCUGAACCAGCCAAGUCGCGUGAAGGAAGAAGGUACUUAGUAUUGUAAACUUCUUUUGUCGGGGAACAAAGGCGGAGACGCGUCUCCGGAUGAGUGUACCCGAAGAAAAAGCAUCGGCUAACUCCGUGCCAGCAGCCGCGGUAAUACGGAGGAUGCGAGCGUUAUCCGGAUUUAUUGGGUUUAAAGGGUGCGUAGGCGGUUUGAUAAGUUAGAGGUGAAAUGUCGGGGCUCAACCCCGAAACUGCCUCUAAUACUGUUGG
Molecule: ribosomal RNA, 305 nt
Filed under: uncultured bacterium
Lineage: Bacteria
Description: bacterial SSU rRNA
Rfam family: Bacterial small subunit ribosomal RNA
Source: RNAcentral